AACGCACCUUGCGCUCCUUGGUAUUCCGAGGAGCAUGCCUGUUUGAGUGUCAUUUAAUUCUCAACCAUCCCUCGAUUCGUUUCGAGGGUUUGGCUUGGAUUUUGGGGGCUGCCGGGCGACCCUAGGGUCUUCGGCUCUCCUUAAAAGCAUUAGCGAUGGCGGCGCGAUCUAACCCCCCCCAUGCAUGAACGGCCUUCGACGUGAUAAUGAUCGUCGUGGCUGGAGUGUUGUUAGUGGGUGUCGUGAAAGUCGGCGCUUCUAAAGACCUCGUCGAAAGACGAAAACUCGAAACUUGACCUCAAAUCAGGUAGGACUACCCGCUGAACUUAA
This 330-nucleotide unclassified non-coding RNA is filed under the name Mytilinidion sp. RNAcentral describes it as "partial contains 5.8S ribosomal RNA, internal transcribed spacer 2, and large subunit ribosomal RNA". The stretch from base 1 to 52 matches the Rfam family "5.8S ribosomal RNA", at positions 103 to 154 of the family's 154-position model. The record is from RNAcentral. Lineage: Eukaryota; Fungi; Ascomycota; Dothideomycetes; Mytilinidiales; Mytilinidiaceae.